Molecule: unclassified non-coding RNA, 246 nt
Filed under: Hevea brasiliensis (rubber tree)
Lineage: Eukaryota; Viridiplantae; Streptophyta; Magnoliopsida; Malpighiales; Euphorbiaceae
Source: RNAcentral
GCUGACCAAGUAAUCAAAGCUGCUGAUAAAGCCAGAGCUUUCAAACAAGACUGCGCUGAACUCAAAUCCAAGACUGAAAAGCUUGCCUCUUUACUCCGGCAAGCCGUUCGAGCCAGCUCCGACCUGUACGAGCGGCCUACGCGCCGGAUCAUUGACGACACAGAGCAAGUCCUUGAAAAGGCUCUGGCCCUCGUACAAAAAUGCGAACCUAACGACCUCAUGACCCGCGUUUUCACCAUACUCCCG